This 609-nucleotide ribosomal RNA is filed under the name Micrometula hyalostriata. Its description in RNAcentral is "bacterial SSU rRNA". It matches the Rfam family "Eukaryotic small subunit ribosomal RNA", at positions 1220 to 1547 of the family's 1831-position model. Lineage: Eukaryota; Foraminifera; Allogromiidae. The record is from RNAcentral.
GGGUCCGGACACACUGAGGAUUGACAGGCAAAAGAUACAAGUUUUCUUUGUGAGAGCUUGCAUUGUAAAAUAUGCGAGUCCUUUCAUGAUUAUGUGAUAGGUGGUGCAUGGCCGUUCUUAGUUCGUGGAGUGAUCUGUCUGCUUAAUUGCGUUUCACAACGAUUUAAAAUGCUAUGUUUUCUGUGUUUGCUGUUCGGUUUUAGCUCUUACGGGAGUUUUUAACUUUGAACGCACACGGCGUAGCUUAAAACAAUCGGAAAGCAACGAACGUGACCGCAACCUCUUGUUGCCUUUAUUUUUAAAAGCGUAGAAAAUUUUAUAUUUUCUUACGCUUGAAAAAGGCUUUAAAACUAGAGGGACCGCUGUUCUAUUCUCUUAAACCAGAGGAAGAUUGCAGCAAUAACAGGUCUGUGAUGCCCUCAGAUGUUCCGGGCUGCACACGUGCUACAAUGAUUGUUGCAGUGAGCAUCUAUUUUCAAACGCUACCGUUGCGGAUUUUGUGAGAAGGGGGGCUUGUUUUAAAGCUUUCGGGUGGAGAAGCGGGUUCUUUUUUUUCACAAUUUAUUCCGCGUUACGUGUCAGCUAAACCUGCUUCGAAAGCAAGUAGGU